CCCAGACUCCUACGGGAGGCAGCAGUGGGGAAUAUUGGGCAAUGGGCGCAAGCCUGACCCAGCAACGCCGCGUGAAGGAAGAAGGCUUUCGGGUUGUAAACUUCUUUUAAGAGGGAAGAGCAGAAGACGGUACCUCUUGAAUAAGCCACGACUAACUACGUGCCAGCAGCCGCGGUAAUACGUAGGUGGCAAGCGUUGUCCGGAUUUACUGGGUGUAAAGGGCGUGCAGCCGGGCUGACAAGUCAGAUGUGAAAUCCCGUGGCUCAACCACGGAACUGCAUUUGAAACUGUCGGUCUUGAGUAUCGGAGAGGCAGGCGGAAUUCCUAGUGUAGCGGUGAAAUGCGUAGAUAUUAGGAGGAACACCAGUGGCGAAGGCGACUUUCUGGACUGUACCUGACGCUGAGGCGCGAAAGCGUGGGUAGCGAACGGGAUUAGAUACCCCCGUA
This 447-nucleotide ribosomal RNA is filed under the name uncultured bacterium. RNAcentral's name for it is "bacterial SSU rRNA". It matches the Rfam family "Bacterial small subunit ribosomal RNA", at positions 330 to 792 of the family's 1533-position model. The record is from RNAcentral.